UCCCAGUACAAAAAUAUAUGUGACCGUUUACUUCUCCAAUUAUAUUCUUUUAUUGGUUAUCUAUUUCUCCAAGCAAGAGUCAGACCCAUCCUUAAACAUACAUUCCUUAAAUCACAUUUUUUAUCAAUUAUCCAGCAAAGGAUAAUUGAUUAAUUUUGACCCCAAUUUCUGAAAGUAAAACAUUCUUCACAUAUAUUUCAUGCCAGGGCUGGAAUCCACCACAAACUCCACUUCCCAGAACACACUGCAGCCUUAUAACAAGGCCGCCACAGACUACAAUCCCCAGCACCUCACUCCACCAGCACAUACACUCUCACCUGAAUACUAAUCAUGUGCACCUGCUUCCAAUUACACACACUGCCUAUAUAAAUGGACUCUGAACUUUGCUUUAUUGUGAAGUAACACUCAGUCUACACUUACCUGAACCUACCAAGCAGUCUGAGUCUGAGUCUGAGUCUGAGUCUGAGUCUGAUAUUCUAGUUUUGAUCUUGUCUUGUUUCCUGGUUUUUACAUGCUUGGAUUUUGCCACUGAAUUGUUGUUUGCGGAUUUCCUGACCUUUUGCCAGUUCCUGUUUAUGAAUUUUGCUUCACGUUUGAUAAUAAAUUCUAAACUGCAUUUUCAUCCAACUCUAUUGCAUGACAUACUACUUCACCAUCACCAUGGAUGCGGCAGGAGAGUCAAACUGGCACAACAUCAUGGCAGCUCAGGGACAGCUGGUAGGAGAACACCAACAACAUCUGGUGGAGCUAGAUGAGAAAUUAAACAUGCUGGCUUAUCUAUCGCCGUGAUGAGUACGCAGGAGAAACGUCCCAGUGCAAAAGCUUUCUGCUACAGUGCUCACUGUACUUCCCUGGCCAAGAGGGUGUCAAGGAGGGAAACUGUUAUUGUCAUAGGAUCGCUUCAUGGAAAUGUUCCAAAAAGUUGUCAAUCACACCCCCGAAGGCAAGAAAAUUGGUGAGCGACUCUUGAUGGUAACACAAGGGAGGAGAAAUGCUCUUGAACAGGUACUGGAGUCCCGCACUCUUGCUGCAGGAAGCAGAUGCUUUCCGCCAGGGUCUCAAUCAGGAAGUGCUCACUGAACUGGCCUGCCAUGAUGUCAAAAUGCCUCUUGAUUCCCUGAUUGAUCUAGCCGUUCAUCUGGAACAUCUCAUCUGCAUCCUCCAACUGCAUAAGAGGACGUCAUGCCAAUCAAUUUGUAGCACAGUACCCUGUCUGUGAAAAAACCCCGGUCCAACCCAGUCUGCUGAGAGGACCUCGACUUCUUCAUGUACUCCCUCGGUGAGACCAUCUUAGUUUUUCUCUCACUAAUCAUUAACGCCAAGUGUACAGAUGAAACACUCAGAUCGUGUCUCUGACCUCUCAGUGCUGAUCGACUCUGGAGCAGCAGGAAAUUUCAUGGAUCACAAUACCGUCAUGAAGCUCAUCAUACCCACAGAACCCCUACAUUAUCCACUUAAGAUUUGUGCCGUUGAUGGACAACCCAGAGGAAAUGGAAGUGUCACAUUAUGCACCUGUAGCAACCUUACAGGUUCGGGCAGGAAUAAGGAAGCAGGAGGCAGGCUUGGGAACAACUCAGAGGCGUUUUAUUCUCCAAUUUUUAACUUUCGCUUUCAGCGGCUUAUUUUGUUUGCGCGCGCACACACACGCACGCACGCAAGUGGCUCUGUGCUGGAUAUCUCUCUCUCAAGGCGCUUGUCUCUCUCCUUUUUAUCCUUGUCCCAGGUCACUGCAACACAACACUCGUUAGUAGAAUUCCCCGCAGGUGUGCAUUCCUUACCACUCACCUUCUCCGGCUCUGCCCUCCAUUCACAAACCGACGCUCGAUCACACCCGUUUCCACAUACCCCCACCACCCGACUCAGGCCGGGGAGCCAUCCGGCCUGCUACCGACUACCCCCGCACCAGUAUCUCUGCCAAUAUCCCUCGAAUUAAAGCGAGCCACGACUAACUGAUCGACCAGCUUGUCAAUGCGAGGCGUUGGGUAUGUGUCAAACUUGGACACCACGGUGACUUUUCUAAAGGCCAUACAAAACCAAACAGUCCCAUCGGCCUUGGCCACCAAAGCCAGUGGGCUGCUCCACUCACUGUGGGGCUCCUUGAUUACUCCCGUGUCUUUUUCCACAUCAGUCUUAAUAAAUUUUUUAAAAAUAAUGUCACGA
This is a long non-coding RNA of Pangasianodon hypophthalmus (striped catfish), 2160 nucleotides long. RefSeq lists it as uncharacterized. Lineage: Eukaryota; Metazoa; Chordata; Actinopteri; Siluriformes; Pangasiidae. The record is from RefSeq and is a predicted model, not a curated record. The transcript has 2 exons.